Long non-coding RNA from Procambarus clarkii (red swamp crayfish), 1062 nucleotides. RefSeq lists it as uncharacterized. The record is from RefSeq and is a predicted model, not a curated record. Lineage: Eukaryota; Metazoa; Arthropoda; Malacostraca; Decapoda; Cambaridae.
CCUCCUCCCACACACCACAAGCCAGCAGACAAGCACUCCCACCUCCUCCCACACAACAAACACACCGUCCUACCUCCACUUGGGGGCGGUACGAGUCUCAAGGAAUUUCCUUCGGCCUUCAAGACAUUAUCUGUUUUUUGUGAGUUAGUUAACGCCGUUCCAGGCGAGCCUGCGUGGCUCCAGCCCCGUCACGGACCAACUCACCAUCCCAGCUCUGCCUAAGCAACUUUCCCACCUUCAUUAUAGCGAGCAGGAUAACGUAUCUAAUUACUCUUAGAGUCUCCGAGGAGCUCCAACGCCAUCUUGCUCAGUACCAUCGUGCCGCAGAAUUUAACUGAAGGUGUUACGUAAGUUUCACUGGAGAAAAAUAAAAAAAAUUGUACAAAUCCGGAUUGCAGAAUAUUUCUCCUCACAUUGGGUUGGUAUUCCUCUGGUAUACCAAGCGUUCAAGGCCCUUAUGAAGGACAGCAAUUUUCCCACAAGAGACCAACAGCAGGUUUGUCACAGCUGGGUGCACAUAUAUAGGGAAGCAACACUGCAACAAAUGUAGAAGAUCCUCGUGCUCUCGCUCCUCUACACCGACCAUUAUCUAACCAACAGAAUGCAGUUCGCGUGUCUGAUGCUAGUCCUCCUGCUGGCGGUGUCGGCGGUGUUGGCCUCGGCCAGCGCUGACCCAGUCGCCGCCCCGGCGCCCAUUAAGUUCAAGAAGGGUUUCAAGUUCGGGGGCGGUUUCAGACGUCGCCCCGCCAUUCGUUUCGUGCCUGUGUACAGGAAACGCUUUGGGUGGGGCAAGUGAUGUACUAAGUUCACAGAACAUGCGCACUGAGUCCCACUGGAGGCGCUGUUAAACUUCAAUGUGGAUUGUCACAGAUCCUGUGGAUAUUGUCCUGAAGUUCUCGUUCUCUUAAUUUGACUAUAUUCAACUGUAUCAUCGUUGUGAUGACCUUCUAUCCAGCUGGCUGUGACCAGCACCUAGGAGGUAGAGGGCCGCUUUCUGCGUGAGCUGGUCGACUGACCAUUCUCACUGUAUUAACUCAAGUAAAAUAAAAUAAAUUCUUGGUU